GAAGCAACGCGCAGAACCUUACCAGCCCUUGACAUUUAGUGACCGCUACGGAGACGUAGCUUUCCUUCGGGACACUAGGACAGGUGCUGCAUGGCUGUCGUCAGCUCGUGUCGUGAGAUGUUGGGUUAAGUCCCGCAACGAGCGCAACCCUCGUCCUUAGUUGCCAGCAUUUGGUUGGGCACUCUAGGGAGACUGCCGGUGAUAAGCCGGAGGAAGGUGGGGAUGACGUCAAGUCCUCAUGGCCCUUAUGGGCUGGGCUACACACGUGCUACAAUGGCGGUGACAGUGGGCAGCAAGAUCGCAAGGUCAAGCUAAUCUCCAAAAACCGUCUCAGUUCGGAUUGUUCUCUGCAACUCGAGAGCAUGAAGUUGGAAUCGCUAGUAAUCGUAGAUCAGCAUGCUACGGUGAAUACGUUCCCGGGCCUUGUACACACCGCCCGUCACACCAUGGGAGUUGGGUUUACCCGAAGGUGGUGCGCUAACCAGCAAUGGAGGCAGCCAACCACGGUAGGCUCAGCGACUGGGGUGAAGUCGUAACAAGGUAACCGUA
This 549-nucleotide ribosomal RNA is filed under the name uncultured bacterium. Its description in RNAcentral is "bacterial SSU rRNA". It matches the Rfam family "Bacterial small subunit ribosomal RNA", at positions 953 to 1504 of the family's 1533-position model. The record is from RNAcentral.